CUGGGAACCAUCUCGCAGUGACACUCAAACCCUGUAUGGAGUGGUCUGCAUGGUGAGGAACCUAGGUUUUCUGCCAAAGCCACAAGAGUGAGCCAUCCCAGAAGUGAAUCUUCUAGCUCCACGUGAUGACAGCCCCAGCUGAUAGCUUGGCAGCAAUUUCAUGAGAGAUCCUGAGCAGGAACCAGACAACUAAGCUGCUCCUGGAUUGAGCCUUAGAUAUCGUGAUGCACAUCUAAUUCCAGUGACUCAAGAGAUUGAAGCAGGAGGAUGGUAAGUUCCAGGCCAAGCUCAGCA
RNAcentral lists this long non-coding RNA (294 nucleotides) under Marmota monax (woodchuck). Lineage: Eukaryota; Metazoa; Chordata; Mammalia; Rodentia; Sciuridae. The record is from RNAcentral.